CCUACGGGAGGCUGCAGUGGGGAAUAUUGGUCAAUGGGGGGAACCCUGAUCCAGCGACGCCACGUGAGUGAAGAAGUACUUCGGUAUGUAAAGCUCUAUCAGCAGGGAAGAAAAUGACGGUACCUGACUAAGAAGCCCCGGCUAACUACGUGCCAGCAUCCUCGGUAAUACGUAGGGGGCCAGCGUUAACCGGAAUUACUGGGUGUAAAGGGGGCGUAAACGGUGCAGCAAGUCUGAUGUGAAAGUUCGGGGCCCAACCCCGGGACUGCAUUUGAAACUGUUGAACUGGAGUACAGGAGUGGUAGGCGGAAUGCCUAGUGUAGCGGUGAAAUGCGUAGAUAUUAGGAGGAACACCGGUGGCGAAGGCGGCUUGCUGGGCUUUUACUGACGCUGAGGCUCGAAAGCGUGGGGAGCAAACAGGAUUAGAUACCCUAGUAGUC
Molecule: ribosomal RNA, 440 nt
Filed under: uncultured bacterium
Lineage: Bacteria
Description: partial 16S ribosomal RNA
Rfam family: Bacterial small subunit ribosomal RNA
Source: RNAcentral